RNAcentral lists this transfer RNA (73 nucleotides) under Ignavibacteriota bacterium. RNAcentral's name for it is "Ignavibacteriae bacterium (groundwater metagenome) tRNA-Trp". It matches the Rfam family "tRNA". Rfam says of the family: Transfer RNA (tRNA) molecules are approximately 80 nucleotides in length. Their secondary structure includes four short double-helical elements and three loops (D, anti-codon, and T loops). Lineage: Bacteria; Pseudomonadati; Ignavibacteriota. The record is from RNAcentral. RNAcentral also lists the same sequence under 1 other name.
ACGGGUGUAGCUCAAUUGGUAGAGUAGCGGUCUCCAAAACCGUCGGUUGGGGGUUCGAUUCCUCCCACCCGUG